AUGGCAGAGCCGGUUACCAAGUCUGUGCUGUUUGUGUGUCUAGGUAACAUUUGUCGAUCACCCAUUUCAGAAGCAGUUUUCAGGAAACUUGUAACUGAUCAAAACAUCUCAGAGAACUGGGUCAUUGACAGUGGUGCUGUUUCUGACUGAAACCUGGGCCAGUCCCCAGACCCAAGAGCUGUGAGCUGCCUAAGAAAUCAUGGCAUUCACACCACCCAUAAAGCAAGACAGAUUACCAAAGAAGAUUUUGCCACAUUUGAUUAUAUGCUAUGUAUGGAUGAAAGCAAUCUGAGAGAUUUGAAUAUAAAAAGUAAUCAAGUUAAAACCUGCAAAGCUAAAAUUGAACUACUUGGGAGUAAUGAUCCACAAAAACAACUUAUUAUUGAAGAUCCCUAUUAUAGGAAUGUCUCUGACUUUGAGACGGUGUACCAGCAGUGCGUCAGGUGCUGCAGAGCAUUCUUGGAGGAGGCCCACUGA
Molecule: non-coding RNA, 477 nt
Organism: Saimiri boliviensis boliviensis (Bolivian squirrel monkey)
Lineage: Eukaryota; Metazoa; Chordata; Mammalia; Primates; Cebidae
Source: RefSeq, a predicted model, not a curated record